CAUUAUUUUAAAAAAGCAUGCUCUCAGGGCUGGCUCAGUUCUCAAAUCAAGCAUUUAAAAUGUUUUCCAGCUUCUCCACAGCCUUGCUCUGUGGCACUGCUACCAGGUACAUCCCCCAAGCACGGCACAGCUAAGAAGAGCCCCGCUAAAUCAGGCCAGCCCAUCCAGGAACCAGUUUCACACAGCGGCUAGCAAGGGAGCCUUAAGGUGAGCUCUGUGUCAUGGAGAAAAUUCCAGAAGUGUUCAGCAUCCCUCAUCAUCCCCUGUUUUGUAUUCCAACAGCCUCAUUUCUCUCUCACACUUUAUUUAUUUAUUUAGGGUUUGGGUUUUAUAUAUAUAUAUUAAAAAAGAGGAUUAAGUUGAUAGGUCAUUUGCUCCUUCACACACACACACACACACACACACACACACACACACAAACUAUAUGUUUCAUAUAUGUUCUGGCUACUGGUCAACCCCAUUGGUCCUCAGGUCAUCUACAGCAGAGUCCAGUGAAUGAGAGGAGGAGGAAGAUGAAGAGGAAGACUAAGAGCCUUAUUCAAUUUUGCUUAUACACGUAAUGGCCAGUAACAUAAUGCCCGCCUGUGUUGUGAGUUAACCUGUAUGUGCUGCCAACCUCUGGCCUGGCAUUUACUCUCAGUUUUUCUCUCUUUUUUCCCAGUCUUAAAUUUAGCCCUCCACAUUUCGACACCAGUUUGUGAUUUAAAAACAACAACAACAAAACAGCCACAAGCAUUCAUGAAAAUUCAGCAACAUUUUAAUCAAAUGUCUCUUAAUACACAUGUUCUUGUUUUUAAUUUUGCCUAAUAUACCCAUUUUUGGAAGCAAAAAUUAUAUGAUCCAUUUUUAUAUGCUGUUUUCUCUAGCAAAUGCAUUGUUAUAAGUACCCCAUCCUGUCUUUCAAAUGCACACUUUGCAUAACUCAGGGCAGAAAAGUAAUUACCUGAUGCCAAUCAGUCAUGAAACCAUGUUAUAUUUUUGGAGCUUUUUCUUGUUUUUAAAAAGUUUAUAUGCUUUAAGAAAAUGUAAUAUGGACCAUUAAGCAUCUCCCAAGAAGAUCUUUUCCGGGCGUAUAUAUCAUUUGUUUCAGUCAAAACUAUUUUUCAUUUCGCCAUUUCUGAAUACAUUUCGUAUAAUAUACUGCACAAAGAUAUGAGUGGGAAAGAUCCAUAGCCUAUGUGUACCAAUGAUGCAUGGAAACUAUUAAGCCCUCUCAGGAGUGAACAGAAAUAUCAUCAGUAUCCUUCAGUGUGAGAAAUUGGAUUUACUUUACUCCCUAGGUAGCACUGGGCGCGACGUCUACGAGGCAGCUGCAUCCUGAUACGGUGCAUGGGAAUAGGUGUAGUAAUUCAUUCAACAUCAUGUUCGUAAGAUUGAAUCUGUUACUUGAAAACACCACGCUCUAGAUUGUCAAACUAGAGGCAGGUGGCAGGGAUGAGAAAUCAUAUCACACCUAGUGCUUAAUUUUUAUUUUUUUAAAGUUUGGGAUCAGGUAUUCCAGGAACCUUUAGCGUUGUCUCCAACUAAGUUUCCAACUCAGAGUCGACCCAUCGAAAUAAAUGUCCCUAACUUGGUCCUGUUUAUAAUUUCAGUAGGUCUACUCUGAGUAGGACUAGCAUUGGAUAAAACCCACUGCUUUUGGCAUCUUGAGACUCAUCCACCCUUCCGACUUCUAGGCACGGGUCUGAGAUGUUCUUCUUUCGUCCCGCUGCUUUUCCUGGGAAAACCUGCUGGUGACUGCUGAACUGGAACAAAUGUCCACCAGGUUUUCUGCAGAUGGACAUUUGUUUCAGUUCAGCAGUAAACCUCAGGCAAAGUGGCAGGACAAAAGAAAAACCUCCAGGACCUGGAAAGCCAUGGAACGAAUGGAAGAAAUUGCGGGACAAAGGGAAAUGUCCCCAAUUUAAUCUCCAGCCAAUCUUGAUCUCCUCCUUUGACCUCCAUCUGACCUCCUCCCCCCACCAAAUGGACAUGGCAUCCUUUCGGCCUGCUUGUUAUGUGCACGCUAGUCAGUUGUGCCGAAUGCAGUUUUGGGUACCUGGGUUACAAAACCUGUCUCCUCUUCGCGUUACCAGCACUAGUUCCGUUACUGUUAGUCUGUUGAUCUAAAUGCAGAUUAAAACGUAAAUCGGUUUAAAUUAUGAGAGUUAAAGAAAGAGGCAGAGAGGGAACCACCACCACCUUUUCAUUAAAAAAACACCAUAGGUUUCAGCCCAAAGGUGUUCUUACAUGAGUCCCCUGAUUUCACUAAGGAUUUUGCUCCAAGUUUAGGCUCCCAAAACAUGUGCCACACCACUCCAAACAGUUCCCAACUCUCAGAAGCAUCACUGAGGGACAUGUAUGUGACAGAGACCUGCAGGAGGAAGGUAGGUCUGUUACCAUAGGGUAGUUUUGUGUAAUUUUUGGUUGCAAUUCCUUGCAUUGUAUAUUAUUUGUGGUUUUUUGUGUGCAAUGCUUUAGGCAUGGCACACCAUGAAAAAGCAACAAGCUAAGUUCUUUGGACACAUGAAAGUGCUAUACAAAUGCUUCUUUCCCCCAUUUUCAUCUUCACCAUUAUUAUAUAAUAAUGUAGCCAAUUUUGCACAGGUGAAAAGCAUUUGGCUCUUUCCCUGCCAGCCUGUUUGUAUGCCCUUUCAAAUCAGACAAAGUUGUGCAGGGAGAAUAAAACUGAAGCAGAUACAAAGACCAUUAGAAUCACUGAAGAGCACCUGUGCCCCCGUUUUCCCUAUCCAAUCUAUUUUUUAAAGUUCUAUGUGCAAGGAUAGUUGAGCUUUCCCCCCUUUAAGAGCUGCAUCUCCUUGCUGCAAAGUUGCCCCUUUAAGGAGGAUUUCAUUGACUGCUCUCUAAUUUGUAUUUUUAUGGUUUUAUUGCACAUGGUAGUUGUGCAGUUUCAGUGAAUCGCUGCCGAACCUGGAUCAAUGGAAGCUGCAGUGCUAAUCGAUGUCUCAAAGCAAAUACCUUUUUGAAGCAGAACAAUUCCACGCAAGCCUUGUUUACUACUCCCAAGAAGGUUAAUCAUUCUGCAGGGAUUCAGCUCAUCAAUCCCCCCGCUGAAGCAAACUGACCCCUGCAGACAUCAGCAAAGCACUCAUUGAAAUAAAUCUCUGCAAUCCCUGAGCCUGAUUCUGUCCUCCUCACUUACCCAGUGAUCCUAAAUACAUCUGAUGGAAGGCCGUCUCAUUGAUUCCAAUGGAUUUUUACCUCCAGGUAAGUGUGCUAAGGAGCACAUCUUUAGUCUGUGUUUUCAAAGACAUAACUCUAUUGUCUUCAUUACAAAACACUUGACCUUCACAUAAUGCAGACCACAUGUCAAAAGUAAUUUGAUUCAAUAAAAGAUCCCAG
This 3342-nucleotide long non-coding RNA is filed under the name Podarcis lilfordi (Lilford's wall lizard). The record is from RNAcentral. Lineage: Eukaryota; Metazoa; Chordata; Lepidosauria; Squamata; Lacertidae.